RNAcentral lists this non-coding RNA (71 nucleotides) under Elusimicrobiota bacterium. Its description in RNAcentral is "Elusimicrobia bacterium 18-dG-II sequence". It matches the Rfam family "2dG-II purine riboswitch aptamer". Rfam says of the family: Purine riboswitch variant that recognize 2'-deoxyguanosine Lineage: Bacteria; Pseudomonadati; Elusimicrobiota. The record is from RNAcentral.
CGGCUCUGUAGCCCGGAGAAUUGGCUCCGGGGUAUCCACGAUCCGACCGAAAUCGGAUGAGACCAGGGACU